Molecule: ribosomal RNA, 440 nt
Filed under: uncultured bacterium
Lineage: Bacteria
Description: partial 16S ribosomal RNA
Rfam family: Bacterial small subunit ribosomal RNA
Source: RNAcentral
CCUACGGGGGGCAGCAGUGGGGAAUAUUGCACAAUGGGGGAAACCCUGAUGCAGCGACGCCGCGUGAGUGAAGAAGUAUUUCGGUAUGUAAAGCUCUAUCAGCAGGGAAGAAAAUGACGGUAACUGACUAAGAAGACCCGGCUAACCACGUGCAAGCAGCCGCGGUAAUACGUAGGGGGCAAGCGUUAUCCGGAUUUACUGGGUGUAAAGGGAGCGUAGACGGUGAAGCAAGGCUGAUGUGAAAGGCAGGGGCUCAACCCUUGGACUGCAGUGGACACUGUUUUGCUGGAGUGCCGGAGAGGUAGGCGGAAUUCCUGGUGUAGCGGUGAAAUGGUGAGAUAUAAGGAGGAACACCGGUGGCGAAGGCGGCUUACUGGACUGUAACUGACGUUGAGGCUCGAAAGCGUGGGUAGCAAACAGGAUUAGAUACCCUAGUAGUC